AUUGAACGCUGGCGGCAGGCCUAACACAUGCAAGUCGAGCGGAGCGGCGGACGGGUGAGUAAUGCCUAGGAAUCUGCCUGGUAGUGGGGGAUAACGUCCGGAAACGGGCGAUAAUACCGCAUACUAUCAGAUGAGCCUAGGUCGGAUGAGCGAGUUGGUGGGGUAAAGGCCUACAAAGGCGACGGUACGUAACUGGUCUGAGAUGAUGAUCAGUCCCACUGGAACGGAGAAACGGUCCAGACUCCUACGGGAGGCGGCAGUGGGGACUAUUGGACAAUGGGCGAAAGCCUAAUCCAGCAAUGCCGCGUGUGUGAAGAAGGUCUUCGGAUUGUAAAGCACUUUAAGUUGGGAGGCGUUACCUGCAGAAUAAGCACCGGCUAACUACGUGCCAGCAGCCGCGGUAAUAC
This 407-nucleotide ribosomal RNA is filed under the name uncultured bacterium. Its description in RNAcentral is "partial 16S ribosomal RNA". It matches the Rfam family "Bacterial small subunit ribosomal RNA", at positions 30 to 526 of the family's 1533-position model. The record is from RNAcentral.